Molecule: ribosomal RNA, 459 nt
Filed under: uncultured bacterium
Lineage: Bacteria
Description: partial 16S ribosomal RNA
Rfam family: Bacterial small subunit ribosomal RNA
Source: RNAcentral
CCUACGGGAGGCAGCAGUGAGGAAUAUUGGUCAAUGGUCGGGAGACUGAACCAGCCAAGCCGCGUGAGGGAUGAAGGUACAGCGUAUCGUAAACCUCUUUUGUCAGGGAACAAAGGCGGGGACGUGUCCCCGGAUGAGUGUACCUGAAGAAAAAGCAUCGGCUAACUCCGUGCCAGCAGCCGCGGUAAUACGGGGGAUGCGAGCGUUAUCCGGAUUUAUUGGGUUUAAGGGGUGCGCAGGCGGUCUGUUAAGUCAGCGGUCAACCCCCGGGGCUCAACCCCGGCCCGCCGUUGAAACUGGCAGUCUCGAGUUGGAGAGAAGUAGGCGGAAUGCGCGGUGUAGCGGUGAAAUGCAUAGAUAUCGCGCAGAACUCCGAUUGCGAAGGCAGCAUGCCGGCUCCACACUGACGCUGAGGCACGAAAGCGUGGGUAUCGAACAGGAUUAGAUACCCGUGUAGUC